AUUGAACGCUGGCGGCAUGCCUUACACAUGCAAGUCGAACGGCAGCGCGGGCUUCGGCCUGGCGGCGAGUGGCGGACGGGUGAGUAAUGCAUCGGAACGUGCCCAGGAGUGGGGGAUAACGUAGCGAAAGUUACGCUAAUACCGCAUACGUACUGAGGUAGAAAGCGGGGGAUCGAAAGACCUCGCGCUCAUGGAGCGGCCGAUGUCGGAUUAGCUAGUUGGUGGGGUAAAAGCUCACCAAGGCGACGAUCCGUAGCUGGUCUGAGAGGACGACCAGCCACACUGGGACUGAGACACGGCCCAGACUCCUACGGGAGGCAGCAGUGGGGAAUCUUGGACAAUGGGGGAAACCCUGAUCCAGCAAUGCCGCGUGUGGGAUGAAGGCCCUCGGGUUGUAAACCACUUUUGGCAGGAAAGAAAUCGCCUGUGCUAAUACCACGGGCGGAUGACGGUACCUGCAGAAUAAGCACCGGCUAACUACGUGCCAGCAGCCGCAGUAA
This 500-nucleotide ribosomal RNA is filed under the name uncultured bacterium. RNAcentral's name for it is "partial 16S ribosomal RNA". It matches the Rfam family "Bacterial small subunit ribosomal RNA", at positions 29 to 523 of the family's 1533-position model. The record is from RNAcentral.